RNAcentral lists this ribosomal RNA (303 nucleotides) under Triticum aestivum (bread wheat). RNAcentral describes it as "partial small subunit ribosomal RNA". Lineage: Eukaryota; Viridiplantae; Streptophyta; Magnoliopsida; Poales; Poaceae. The record is from RNAcentral.
AUGGACAGGGAGGACUCCAUCUCCUGGCGUUGGACUACAAAUGGAAUCUACUCCGCGGCUUCGGCAUAUACAUCCCAAUUCUCUGGCUCCUUCCCCAGGUUCUCGCCGACGAAGAUUUGGGAGGCACACGCGGAACCCAAAUGCAAGCUCUUUUCCUGGCUGGUGCUCCAGGGAAAGAUCCUCACGGCCGACAUGCUCGCUAUUCGCGGAUGGCCGCACGAUCCUACAUGCCCGCUGUGUCUGGGAGCACUGGAGACGGCAACUCACCUCUGCAAGGACUGCCCAUUUGCGAUUGCGGUUUGA